GACGAACGCUGGCGGCGUGCUUAACACAUGCAAGUCGAACGGAAAGGCCCUGCUUUUGUGGGGUGCUCGAGUGGCGAACGGGUGAGUAACCCGUGAGUAACCUGCCCUGGACUUUGGGAUAACUUCAAGAAACUGGGGCUAAUACCGGAUAGGAGCUCCUGCUGCAGGGUGGGGGUUGGAAAGUUUCGGCGGAUGGGGAUGGACGCGCGGCUUAUCAGCUUGUUGGGGGGGUAGUGGCUUACCAAGGCUUUGACGGGUAGCCGGCCUGAGAGGGUGACCGGCCACAUUGGGACUGAGAUACGGCCCAGACUCCUACGGGAGGCAGCAGUGGGGAAUAUUGCACAAUGGGCGGAAGCCUGAUGCAGCAACGCCGCGUGCGGGAUGACGGCCUUCGGGUUGUAAACCGCUUUCGCCUGUGACGAAGCGUGAGUGACGGUAAUGGGUAAAGAAGCACCGGCUAACUACGUG
RNAcentral lists this ribosomal RNA (468 nucleotides) under uncultured bacterium. RNAcentral describes it as "partial 16S ribosomal RNA". It matches the Rfam family "Bacterial small subunit ribosomal RNA", at positions 28 to 507 of the family's 1533-position model. The record is from RNAcentral.